Molecule: non-coding RNA, 28 nt
Filed under: Mus musculus (house mouse)
Lineage: Eukaryota; Metazoa; Chordata; Mammalia; Rodentia; Muridae
Source: RNAcentral
UACAGGAAUGUGGCAUUGUGCAUUGUGU